RNAcentral lists this ribosomal RNA (495 nucleotides) under uncultured bacterium. RNAcentral's name for it is "partial 16S ribosomal RNA". It matches the Rfam family "Bacterial small subunit ribosomal RNA", at positions 28 to 507 of the family's 1533-position model. The record is from RNAcentral.
GACGAACGCUGGCGGCGUGCCUAAUACAUGCAAGUAGAACGCUGAAGGAGGAGCUUGCUCUUCUGGAUGAGUUGCGAACGGGUGAGUAACGCGUAGGUAACCUGCCUGGUAGCGGGGGAUAACUAUUGCAAACGAUAGCUAAUACCGCAUAACAGUAGAUGUUGCAUGACAUUUGCUUAAAAGGUGCAAUUGCACCACUACCAGAUGGACCUGCGUUGUAUUAGCUAGUUGGUGGGGUAACGGCUCACCAAGGCGACGAUACAUAGCCGACCUGAGAGGGUGAUCGGCCACACUGGGACUGAGACACGGCCCAGACUCCUACGGGAGGCAGCAGUAGGGAAUCUUCGGCAAUGGACGGAAGUCUGACCGAGCAACGCCGCGUGAGUGAAGAAGGUUUUCGGAUCGUAAAGCUCUGUUGUAAGAGAAGAACGAGUGUGAGAGUGGAAAGUUCACACUGUGACGGUAUCUUAACAGAAAGGGACGGCUAACUACGUG